AACCUAGCACACCUGCGGUGUGUACCUGCGGAAGGAUCAUUAACCUUUCAAAUCAGGGUGCGGCGCGGCCCCCGAGGAGCGGCAACAAUCCUUGGGAGGUAUGCGGGGGCUUCGAGCCCCCCAUUUACGCACGCACGACUGCCAUCCUUACUUUACGAGCACCUUCUGUUCUCCCUCGGCGGGGCAACCUGCCGUUGGAACCGAAUAAACUCUUUUUGCAUCUAGCAUUACCUGUUCCGA
Molecule: unclassified non-coding RNA, 240 nt
Filed under: soil metagenome
Description: partial contains 5.8S ribosomal RNA, internal transcribed spacer 2, and large subunit ribosomal RNA
Source: RNAcentral